Molecule: ribosomal RNA, 540 nt
Filed under: uncultured eukaryote
Lineage: Eukaryota
Description: SSU rRNA
Rfam family: Eukaryotic small subunit ribosomal RNA
Source: RNAcentral
UGUAUUUAUUAGAUUAAAAACCAAUGCCCUUCGGGGCUCACUGGUGAUUCAUGAUAACUCCUCGAAUCGCAUGGCCUUGCGCCGGCGAUGGUUCAUUCAAAUUUCUUCCCUAUCAACUUUCGAUGUUUGGGUAUUGGCCAAACAUGGUUGCAACGGGUAACGGAGGGUUAGGGCUCGACCCCGGAGAAGGAGCCUGAGAAACGGCUACUACAUCCAAGGAAGGCAGCAGGCGCGCAAAUUACCCAAUCCCGACACGGGGAGGUAGUGACAAUAAAUACUGAUACAGGGCUCUUUUGGGUCUUGUAAUUGGAAUGAGUACAAUUUAAAUCCCUUAACGAGGAACAAUUGGAGGGCAAGUCUGGUGCCAGCAGCCGCGGUAAUUCCAGCUCCAAUAGCGUAUAUUAAAGUUGUUGCAGUUAAAAAGCUCGUAGUUGAAACUUGGGCCUGGCUGGCGGGUCCGCCUCACCGCGUGCACUCGUCCGGCCGGGCCUUCCUUCUGAAGAACCUCAUGCCCUUCACUGGGCGUGCUGGGGAACCAGG